GUGCUUGCUUUGGCAGCAUAUAUCCUGUAUUAGAACAAUACAGAGAAGAUUAGCAUGGCCCCUGCACAAGGAUGACACGCAAAUUCGUGAAGCAUUCCACAUUUAU
Small nuclear RNA from Suncus etruscus (white-toothed pygmy shrew), 106 nucleotides. The record is from RefSeq and is a predicted model, not a curated record. NCBI's taxonomy places the organism in Eukaryota, Metazoa, Chordata, Mammalia, Eulipotyphla, Soricidae.